RNAcentral lists this long non-coding RNA (7848 nucleotides) under Cucumis sativus (cucumber). Its description in RNAcentral is "long non-coding RNA (CSAT_LNC002616)". The record is from RNAcentral. Lineage: Eukaryota; Viridiplantae; Streptophyta; Magnoliopsida; Cucurbitales; Cucurbitaceae.
GGAAAUUCUGCAACAAAUUAGAACAUGAAGCAUCAAAUUGUGAUCUUAGUUGAACAUCUGUUACACCUGCCACUGUCCAAAGAAAACAGACAACUCCAUCAAAAACAGGUAUUUCCAACAAAAAUUAGUACUUUGCAGCACCUGUGUUUUACUAAUGACACACACUGUGAUAGGAAUGCUAUGAGUAAAUAAUUAAAGUAUUAAGAGCAUAUUAGCAACUCAUUAAUGAGCCUGUUAGGGAAGUUUGAUUAUAAAUAGAGGUUAAGGGAAUGAGGAAGGUAAGCUAUAUUUUGAAGUAUGAACUACGACGUGAGAGCAUCUCAAGUUUGGGCGGGUCCAAGUACCUCGGACACUUGGUUUAUCAUGUAAUUCAAUAUCAUUUUAUAUUUAAUAUAUUCAGGUUCUAUUGUUUCUUUCCAGCAACCAUGUCACAAAAGUGCAUGCAACAACAAAAACAGGAGCUAAAAAACAAAAAAGUUUGUACUCGUAUUUCUAUCCUUAAAAAGUGUACAACAACCCAUCAAUAACUGUCGGAUUAUGCCCACUUUGGAUUCCUCAGGAUCUUGUCAACCUCAUUAGUUGAACUACUAGGAGCUCUGAAGACCGGAAAGUUGAAAUAUUUGCAAGGACAACUUAAACUAGAGUAAGUCUUCCUCCUUUAGAUAUGCUAGUUGGGGAUUCCUUUAGAUAUGCCUACUUUGAGGAUCGAUUCCCAUGGAAAGUUCCAAUUACCAAAGGGGCUACUAAGCUGAAGUGAAAGAGAAGUUAUUAGCCCACCACCACUAAUCUACAAACAUUUUUUUUAUAUAACAGCAUUCAUUGAAAAAAAAAAUUAAAGAAUACAAGAGCAUACAAAAACAAAGCCCACAAUAACAAAUUCCACUAAUGAAAGGGUUUCCAACUAACUAAGAUAUUGUCUAGCAAAUAAUAACAAAAGAUCUUCGAAAUCGAAGCCCAAAUAGAAACAUAGAACCUCGACAAGGACUAAAACUCACAAGGGUUCUUAUCCACACCUCAAAAUACUCCAUUGUUCCUCUCCCCCCAAAUAUCCCACAACAAAGCACACACCCCCAUGAAACACAAAAAACGACCUUUUUCUUUGAAAGGUGGAUGAAGGCAGAACUCCCCCAUCAUCAAACAAAUGUCCCUUUGGCGAGCAAUCACAAGCUCAAACUCCUAAGAUAACAAUUCUACACCAGUCCCGCAAACUUCCACUCCAAAGAAGGUGGUCAAAGUUUUCCUCAGCCUUCCGACAAACGAUACAACAAAAAUGAUCCAUUAACAAAGGCAUAUUUCUCGAGGUUCCAUUGUGUUCACACGGCUGAGAGAACUUGCCAAUGUCAAGGAAAACUUGACUUUCUCCAGACAUUGAUCCUCACCACUGUAUUGCAGAUUUAUGCAUCAAACCUUUUUUUUUCUUCUAGAAAAAAAAUCCUUUCAAGGACUACCAAAUAAGUGGUCAAUUUUUUAUUUGCCAAAGGGAGCAAGAGGAUUGUAAUUUGCAAACUGAGAUGAUCAACUUUGUUUCCAUGGCUCCUGGAAAAAACCUACUCAAGUCAAAAAAGGUACAGUAAUAAAGGAUCUCUUGGUCUCAAUUCAACUCUCUCAAGUGUUUAACUUCCCUCUUGAUCUCUCAUAAAAUAUAAGCUAUGAAGAUUGUAUGCAAAAGGAAUCCUCUGUUGCACAUUCCUGAAUUUGAGUCAAAGCCUUUUCCUUGAGAUUGGUAAUCACAAAUUCUGAUCACCAAACAGUACAGUUUCUCAUGGUUAAGUUUAUAGACCCCCCUUCUGCUUUUUUACUCCUCACUCAUCUUUGAGUGUGUUGAUAACAAGGAUGGGAUCCUAAACUUUUCCUUCUCCCACAAACACAACUUGACAUUUAAUAGUGAUUGAGGAAAAUUUGGCUACAAUCCCUCUUCCAACACUUUUUCCACCCCCUUCUAUUGAUGUUGUUAGAAUUAGCAGGCUUGUUGUAUGUUGAAAGCCCAAAGGUUUUCAGUCUUUUAUGUUUCCCUAAUGGUCUUUCAUUCUUUUAAUUAGGUUUGUAUUGCCUAUAAAUUAAUGCUCUCAUGUAUCAUUAGUUUUAUUAAGAAAGAUUUACACCGUAGUUUUUCUCCCAGAACUAGGGUUUCCACAUAAAACUUGUGUUUGUUCUUUGUCUCUACAUUCAAUAGAUGCUAUAUGUGAUAUUACCAUCCUGAAAUAGUCCUGUAACAUAGUCAUUACUCAUUGGAUGAUCUUGUUCCAAGACUUAUUAAAGGCAACGUGGACCAGGAUUGAAGACUACGAUCUACGAAUGAAAUUUCUUCAUUGAAUUUCAGUAAAACUUUGAAAUUGACACUUUGACAAGUGAGAUAGGAUCCUAGGUUAGAUGCCUGGGAAAGAAAUUUUUACCAUUUUUCUGUAGUCCACAACCUUUGAACAAAGAAGUAAAAAAAUUCAAGUUCUACUGUUGGUCACAAAUCGACUUCUCACAUCACUGGUCAGCACCUCCAAACAUCUACCUACAAUAAAGCUAUUUAUCCUGCUGGCCAUAAAAUUCUAUAGAAAAUGCUAGAGUUUCGAUCUCCCUCCUGAAGGGAUUUUGGUGUCACCUCUGAAGCCAUAAAACUUCCUUGCAUUGAAUCUAUGUUUUCAUUCAAAAUGCCCCUUUUGUCCGGCAACUCCAGGAUAAGGGAUUUUUUCUAUAAGCUCUUUAUUUAAAUAUUUGUCAUCAUUAUUAAUAUUAGUAGUAGUAUUAUUUUAGAUAUCAUUGCACCUUGACUAACAGCAAACAAAUAUGAAACACAAUGAUUAUAGCUAAAAUCAAACCACCAACUAGCAUCUGAGGUUACUGCUCACAAACAAUAAAAUCUUUUUAAGAAUUAGUAAAGUUACAGCUCUCGAUUCUGGCCAAUUUCAAACAAUCAUCAGACAUCAGUCAUAAUUUACCAGAGUGAUGGCAAGAACAUCACAACUUGGGAAAGACAACAAUCUUACUAAAAAGUCUACAGCAUUAACAAAUCAAUUAAGAGAGCCGGAUAGCUUUAUAUAUCAAUCAAGCGAAAUUAUGGGGCUGAGCAUUUAACACAAAUUCCAGACCCGUCACUACAAAAUCUAGAACGAGAAGCAGAAUUUGAAAACAGAAUUUCCAAAAAUGAACUGCAAAACGCAACGAAAUGAAUAGAGACGAAAGGAAUGGAAAACAAACCCGAGUUUGAAACAAUAUCGAGAAUAAAGUGGAGAGUUUAACACUUAGAUUACUCCCGAGCCUCUUGAUUAGCCGGACGAGCUCCUCUUUUGAAGAAAAUUCCGCCAUUAGAGAACCCUAAGACCCUGUGAUAUCGAAGAAUCCACGUCCGCCGCGGGGGUUGCUCAGUGGAUUACUAUUACGGCGGGAAGAGAAUACAUUUCCAUUCUGGUCUCCUCCAACCAUGAGAGCUUUCAAAGGAUUUUUUAAUAUUAUUAUUUUGAAAAGGAUUUUUUUAGUUUCAAAUAAGAGUUUCUGAAAAAUAAAAAAAUUGGCUAACUAUUUCGUCUAACAAAAUUCAUUAUUUUUCCAUCCAAUGUAAAUAUUUUAUUCUUAUUCAGUGUGUUUUUUUCAUCUUUUUUAAAUGAAAUAAGUUUUCUACUCUAUUGCUAAAUAUAUAGUUCAAUUGAUAUAAUGUUUAAGUUUUAAAAUUAAGUUGUUUGACUCAUCUAUCUUGUAUACAUACAUAGUUAAAAUAGUAAAUAAAUAUCACCUUUGAUAAAUUUUAACCUUGAAUAAUGAAAAGUUUUACAUUGAUUAAUUGUAAGUAAUAUUUACUCUACUUUUUAUACCAAGUCAAAUUUUACUCUUUAUUUUAUUAAAAGAAAUAACUUUUUUGGAACAAUCUUAAAGUUAGAAGAGCAAAAUUAGAAUUUUCCUGAGGUUCAGCCAAUUAACUAAAACUUAAUUCAAAAUUUUAAUUAAGGAUACUUAUGUAUAAUCUAACCAUUAUUAUUGUUAUAUUAUUAAAAAAUUUCAUGAUUUUUUUUCUCUAUUAAUGGAGCAAAAUCGACCUGAAAAUUACAAUGAAUUAUAAUACUAUGUUUUCUUAAUUUAUCAUUGAUUUACAUCCAAGAAGUCAGAUAGUAAAAUCCUUUAUUAUUUUCUUGUAAAAAGGUAUACAUAAGGAUUAGCCCAUAAACAGUUAAAAAAAUUUAAACCCAAAAGGAAUUUUAGAUCUAAAAAUUUAAUUUUUUUUUUAUGUAAUUUCUAUUUUUAAUUAUAUAAACUUAAAAACUUAAAAUAUCAUAAUCAAUUAGCUAAACUCAAAUUGAGUGGUUAUUUAAAAAUGGACGGUAUAUCUAACAGUCUUAACACUUUGCGUGUUUUUAGAAUAAGGUUAAAAUUAGAGCCUGUUUUUAAAUAUUAGAUUUAGAUCAGCUUAAUCAGUAAUGUAAUCUUAAUUAUAUAUAGAAAGUGUUAACUACUAAUGGAAUAAUAAUCCAAAUGGGAUAUGGUUGUGGGAAGUUGUUCUUUGUUCCCACUUUUUCCAAUCAAGUUAGGUCUUGUAUUCUUCGCUUUUUCUUCAACAAGUUUUCAUCAGCCUAACCCUAUCUUCUUCAUCUCCCCAAAAUUCUUCUUUCUUCUUUUGCAAGGUGCAACAUUUGGAGGUUAAAUAUUAAAUCUCUCUAACUUAGCGAUACAAUAAUUAAAUUUACCUUCAACUAUUAGUUUAGUUUAAGUUUUUUUUCAUGAAUUGACGGUUUAAUAUAGUAUCAGAGAGGUCCUUGCAUUGUCGUUUCCUUUCCAAUUAAAAUUGAUUUUCACUUGUUGGACAUUUCUACAAUAAUUAAAUUUGUCUUUAACCACUAGCUUAAGCUUUUAGAUGAAUUGGUUGUUUAAUAGUUUACACCUAUAUUAGUUUAAGUUUUUGGAUAGACUGAUGGUUUAAAAUGGUAUUAGAGAAUCCCAGAAUUCUUUGAGAUUAUUUUCUUAGCCUCGUGUUUAAGUACUUAUCAUGUUAUUUCCUCCUCAAUUAAUAUUAAUUUUCACUUAUUAAGUCUUUCUUGAUAAGUGUUAGAUAUUAAAUUUGUUUUCACCUAUCAACUUAGUGAUUUAAGGUAUGUAGUCAAAGUUUGGCCAAGUUAGAUAAAAUUAGUGUCGAUCUUUGUUACGGUAGGUAGAAAUUAAAAUUAAUUAACAAUAUUGACAUUCAAACCACUCUUAUUUUCUUUUGGUUCACACAUUCCUACAACUCAUACCUUCUCCUACCUAAGUCACUAACCACACUUCUUAUUCUCACCCACCUAAUAGCAUUAACAUUAUUUACUUGUGUAUUAGGCAUGUGAUACGUUGAAUCACUUGUUACAGUUCCUGACUUUCUUUAUCAUAAGAAAAGUUUGUUGAUUUUUAUAAAAAAAAUUACAUUCUUUUGCAAAUUUGCAAUUUGAAUUUUAUACCAUAAUUUUAAAAUAUGCGAUGUUGAAAAACUACAAAAUAACGUAUUUUUUGUAUUAUGUAUGACUCCCACUCGUCUAUGUACAUCCUAUGCACUUCAAACGUGUCAAAGAGUUCAUACAUUGACAUAGGAACACUCAUUUGAAUUUUGAUUGACUCAAAAUCUAACGAGUCUUGAUUAUCUGUCAUUCAUAUGUGUUAAUUUAACUUUAGAGAUGUUUUCAAACUCUUCAAUAAACCUUAUUUUGAAUUUCCAUCAUGCACUAUCUAGCUUCUACUAAGCAUGUCCCUAACACUUCCCUCUCAACCUCUACUUUAACUUGUUGAUUGACAUGACAUAGACAUGCUUUUCAACGUAUGUUUCUUUCAUGUUUCCUCCCAGAAAUCAAUCAGUGAAGGAAAACGAAGGCCUUGGGCCUUGGCUAGAAGCAGUUAUCUACCCUAGGCUUAGCUUUUCUUCUGCUACUUCUCGUGCAACCACUUAUUUUACCGAUCUCACAACCUCUCUUUCUAAUAGCAUGGACAAUCUCGCAGCUUUAAUUUGCACCUUUCCACUCUGUAUUAUGAAUCCCCCUCUUAUCUUUCUCUCUCUCCCUCCUUGGUCUCGCCCUUUUUCUCUCUUCGGCGAGGAGUAGUCUUAACCCAUUAUCAAAUGAAUUAGCAUGUGUGCAUAAGAUAGUGUUCUAAUGCUACCUAUAAUUAAGUAUCAUAGUUAUAUGUUGUUGAAUAAAGGAUAUAUUGGAUAAGUGCAUGAAUGUGUUAAAAUAUUACAAUUGAUCUAGAGAUUAUUGAGCUAGAUCAAACAUAAAUUUAAUCAAAUAUGAACUAGUUAAAAAGUAAUUAUCUUCGCACUGACACAUGUUGCCAAAGAAAAUACAAAGUCCAAAGUGCUAUCUGCCCAAAUGUGUUGAAUAGUUUCAAAUAUAACCACACCCAACUAAAAAAGUCUGGAAAAAUUAACUUAGUUGAUCACAUCCAUCAAAUUAAACCGGUGAACCUAAUGUGUUCAAACUUCAAAGAAAUUAAAUUCUUGUGUAUGAUAUGUUGAUGAGUAGGUAUAACACCUUGAUGAGUAGGUACAACAAGUCAAAGUGUCAAGCCGAUUUGGGUCGGUGUAACAUGUGUCUUAUCCUGUUCCAUUUAAAGUUGACAACAUCAUUUUAUUGUUAGGUUAUACAGGGUAACUAAAUACUCUCUCAAUUAUUCCUUGUUUUAUUACAUUGUUAUCUUUUAAAAAUAAUAAAGGAUAUAUAACAGUAUUUAAGAAUAUUUGUGAAGCAGAAUCACGAUGGAAAUUAAUUUAAAAAGAGAUGUAUUUAUUAAAAGAAUCUCAAUUGUGUAAUACACUGUCUAAGCUUAAAAAAAUAGAUUGAGUGUAUCCAAGACCAACUGAAAAGAUAUCUAAUUAAGUUUCGUACAACACCAAAAAGAUCUUGAAACUCAGAUUAAAGAAAAGACCUUCACUUUAAUAAUUGACCACUCACAUAAGCUCCACCACUAGAAUUAGAAAAUAGGAGGAGAAAAAAAUUAAAUAUUCACAAAUUUCAUAAUGGUGUCUAAUCUUCUUCUUCUUUUUUUUUUCCUUUUAAACUUUAAAUUCACCCAUUAUAUAUCAAUUGAGUUAUGGUAUGAGUUAGUUAUUAAAUGUAAAAGAAUGUUCUUGGUUGGUAUACCUAUGAGUGUUUAAAUUUUGAUUUGAUAAGAACAAAAUAUUAGAAAAGGGGUGGCAGGAGCAGGGGGACAUGAUCUCCUAAAAUCAGAGAUUUUUCACUUUAAUUAUAAGUUUAUAACAUGGAAGAAAAAUAAUGAUAAUGAUAAUAAUAAACAAGGCCAAAUUAAAGAAGGAAAUUACAGAAAGAGACAAGGAGUUUUCAAAACUUGGGAGCAAUUCUGAACAAAACUAUCUGAAUCACAGUGGUAAUUAAGGAAAUUCCUCUCCCUACUCACAAGACUUGGAGGAAGCACAACCUCCAUGGAAGCUCCCAAUAGAUACCGUUGCGUGUGGCUCUGGCAGGUGUUGCAAAGCAAGCACCGGACGUGCCGCAGGGCCAAGAAAUUCGCGCUGUGAACCGAUUUGUCGCACUUCCCGCACAAAUACGCCUCGUCGGCUUCGCAAUACAGCGACGCCCUGGAACCGCAUAGCUCACACCGUACAGGAUCGCCACCGCCGGCUGCCCCGUCAUCGGUGGUCCGACGUUGCCGGACGGCGACUUGGGUCGUUUCUUCCUGUUCUACACCUUUGCACAUGAUUGUUUAAUUUGUUGGAAAUGGAAGCUUGAUUGUCAAGGAAAUGGGGAUUUUGAGGGUGUUGAUUUAUAUAUAGAAGGUUGGUAAAUAGGACAAGAAGGAAAAGCAAGUUUCAUUAUUUAUAAUCAAUCAUACCCUUUAUGUUAUUUUUUUAUUUAGAUAUAAAAUAAAACAUUAUAAAAUUUUACAAUUCAA